ACCAACAUCCCUAUUUCUCUUCCUCUUAAUUUAGGGUAAUAUUAGCUUGUGAUACUGGCUGGGGAAGUCAGAGAUCCAAGGGAGAAUGAACAGUUAUCAGCCUUAUGAAGCUGGGAGUCUUCUGGCUCACCCCAGUCCUGCCAAGCAGGCUGUGAAGUUUGUUCUAAUUAUACUGACUUGCUGGUGACAGAAAGAUCCUCUGGGCAUGUCCCCCUCAACAUCUCCAAAGUGUCUUUCAAUGUGGAAAAAUGGAACACGUCCACUUCUCGAUGGGAUGAAGUAAUCAUCUCUGUUACUGGGAAUUCAAAGUCUCUCAACAGCCCCAUCAGAGAGCAGGUCUCUGUGUGUGGGGGAUAUUUCAAUCUGAAAAAUGUGAGCAAAGCAGCUGGGGGAUAUUAUAAGGUGAUACUGGUGCUGUCUGGAAAGUGUGUGGCCUGUAUACAUCUGAGAGUGCUGGAGCCCACCUUAUCCCCACCUCCUAUAGCACAAACCCACAGAGUGAGUGAGGAACCUACCAAUAAGAGUGGAAAGGAGGGAUUGAAGGCUUGGAAAUGGACCAUUCCUGUUGGGCUCUUCGCUAUGGUGCUGAUGAUGUUCUGAUAACAGAGGUUCAUUAUCUUUAGAGCAGGGCAAAAUUAUGGCUACCAAUAAAGAUCUGUGUGUGCCAUGAGCCUGAAGUCUC
This is a long non-coding RNA of Chrysemys picta bellii (western painted turtle), 682 nucleotides long. The record is from Ensembl. Lineage: Eukaryota; Metazoa; Chordata; Testudines; Emydidae.